UUUAGAAAUUAUAAUCUUACCAGGGAAAUCCGGUGUAAUUCCGGUGCUGUGCCGCAACUGUGAUUCCGCCCAAGGCGGAUAAGCCAGGUCGCUGGUAGGAUAUUUCUCUUCGAGCAAAGAAACUG
RNAcentral lists this small RNA (125 nucleotides) under Candidatus Komeiliibacteriota. The record is from RNAcentral.